This 98-nucleotide signal recognition particle RNA is filed under the name Nitrospirota bacterium. RNAcentral describes it as "Bacterial small signal recognition particle RNA". It matches the Rfam family "Bacterial small signal recognition particle RNA". Rfam says of the family: The signal recognition particle (SRP) is a universally conserved ribonucleoprotein involved in the co-translational targeting of proteins to membranes. Archaeal SRP consists of a 7S RNA and homologues of the eukaryotic SRP19 and SRP54 proteins. In most bacteria, the SRP consists of a 4.5S RNA and the Ffh protein (a homologue of the eukaryotic SRP54 protein). Lineage: Bacteria; Pseudomonadati; Nitrospirota. The record is from Rfam by way of RNAcentral.
GGGCUGGCCCUGCGCAACAGUUACCUGUGAACCCCGUCAGGUCCGGAAGGAAGCAGCGGUAAGCAUCGUAGUUGUGUGCCGCAGCAAGCUGGUCCCUU